This is a long non-coding RNA of Leptidea sinapis, 389 nucleotides long. RefSeq lists it as uncharacterized. Lineage: Eukaryota; Metazoa; Arthropoda; Insecta; Lepidoptera; Pieridae. The transcript is spliced from 3 exons. The record is from RefSeq and is a predicted model, not a curated record.
UUGCUUAAACCGGCAUUAACUUGAGCUGAUCUCUUUUUACUUACAGAGUAAUAAGAAAGCCUGUAUGAAGAGGUUGAUGAAGGUGGAAGAACGCUCGGGAAAUGUACCAAGACCAUGGCAAAUAGAGGUCUUAAAUCUCCCUGCCCUCAGGGAGAUAGGAUGAUUUGUGGAAAAAUCUGAUAAUGGAACGGCAAAAGUGUGCUUAAAGACAAGCUAAGCACACUUUUCUCCUUAGUCGUGUGUCAACUGUGAGUCAAUCAACAAUAAUACAUUAACGACUCCAAAAGAAGAUGGAAUGACUUAUCAUUGCUUUCCCGUACACGGGAUAAUGAAAGAGAAUUGGCGCCAGAUGGUAGCAAGAGAGAAAUGUACAAACCAAAUAAGUUAGC